Xylariaceae sp. FL0255 is the source of this 73-nucleotide non-coding RNA. NCBI's taxonomy places the organism in Eukaryota, Fungi, Ascomycota, Sordariomycetes, Xylariales, Xylariaceae. The record is from the annotation of a GenBank genome assembly.
GAUCCAAUGGUGUAGCGGUUAUCACGUCAGUUUCACACACUGAAGGUCUCUGGUUCAAAUCCGGAUUGGAUCA